GUUGUAUGGUUAAGUGACUAAGCGUACACGGUGGAUGCCUUGGCAGUCAGAGGCGAUGAAGGACGUAUUAACUUGCGAUAAGCCCAGAUUAGGCAGUAAAAGCCACUUGAGUCUGGGAUUUCCGAAUGGGGAAACCCACUAGCAUAAGCUAGUAUCGCUGCGUGAAUACAUAGCGCAGCGAGGCGAACCGGGGGAACUGAAACAUCUAAGUACCCCGAGGAAAAGAAAUCAACCGAGAUUCCGAAAGUAGCGGCGAGCGAAAUUGGACUAGCCCUUAAGCUUUAUAUGCGUUAGACGAACGGUCUGGAAAGUCCGGCGAUACAGGGUGAUAGCCCCGUAGUUGACAACGCACAUUCAGUGAAAUCGAGUAGGGCGGGACACGUGAUAUCCUGUCUGAAUAUGGGGGGACCAUCCUCCAAGGCUAAAUACUACUGACUGACCGAUAGUGAACCAGUACCGUGAGGGAAAGGCGAAAAGAACCCCUGUGAGGGGAGUGAAAUAGAACCUGAAACCGUGUACGUACAAGCAGUAGGAGCACCUUCGUGGUGUGACUGCGUACCUUUUGUAUAAUGGGUCAGCGACUUAUAUUCAGUGGCAAGGUUAACCAUCUAGGGGAGCCGUAGGGAAACCGAGUCUUAACUGGGCGUUCAGUCUCUGGAUAUAGACCCGAAACCAGGUGAUCUAGCCAUGGGCAGGUUGAAGGUUGAGUAACAUCAA
RNAcentral lists this ribosomal RNA (717 nucleotides) under Vibrio mytili. Its description in RNAcentral is "bacterial LSU rRNA". It matches the Rfam family "Bacterial large subunit ribosomal RNA", at positions 1 to 765 of the family's 2925-position model. Lineage: Bacteria; Pseudomonadati; Pseudomonadota; Gammaproteobacteria; Vibrionales; Vibrionaceae. The record is from RNAcentral.